RNAcentral lists this ribosomal RNA (460 nucleotides) under uncultured bacterium. RNAcentral describes it as "partial 16S ribosomal RNA". It matches the Rfam family "Bacterial small subunit ribosomal RNA", at positions 338 to 795 of the family's 1533-position model. The record is from RNAcentral.
CCUACGGGAGGCAGCAGUGAGGAAUAUUGGUCAAUGGACGAGAGUCUGAACCAGCCAAGUAGCGUGAAGGAUGACUGCCCUAUGGGUUGUAAACUUCUUUUAUAUGGGAAUAAAACGUUCCACGUGUGGGAUUUUGUAUGUACCAUAUGAAUAAGGAUCGGCUAACUCCGUGCCAGCAGCCGCGGUAAUACGGAGGAUCCGAGCGUUAUCCGGAUUUAUUGGGUUUAAAGGGAGCGUAGGUGGAUUGUUAAGUCAGUUGUGAAAGUUUGCGGCUCAACCGUAAAAUUGCAGUUGAAACUGGCAGUCUUGAGUACAGUAGAGGUGUGCGGAAUUCGUGGUGUAGCGGUGAAAUGCUUAGAUAUCACGAAGAACUCCGAUUGCGAAGGCAGUUCACUGGACUGCAACUGACACUGAGGCACGAAAGUGUGGGUAUCAAACAGGAUUAGAUACCCGAGUAGUC